CUGGCAUGCAAGGCUCCCCCCCAGGGCAGGAGGCACCCCAGGGGCUCCUGGGCACCCCCUGCACGCUCCCCAUUGGGGCCAGGGUGGUCCCGCUGCGUGCUGUGGCAGGAAGGGAGAGACCUCAGUGCCCACCACUGGCUCCUUCUGCAGAGACGAAGUUGUCUUGUGCCUCUUGCCCAUCGACUCCAUUUCUGAGCCGAUUGAAUGCAGAGCCCAGGCUGGCGUCCGGAAGCCACCGGGCCAUCGGGCCCCCGGAUAACGGCUUCUCCAUUGAUUGGCUGAGAACCAGGCCAUCAGCAGAAUGCUUUCCCAUCGAAGCUGUCCCCUCCCACCAUCAGAUUCCACCCAGCGCUUCUAAUAGAACAUCAGAAUGGGCCGUCCAAGAGCACGCCCUUGACCCCCACCUUCCAUGGCUCUGGAGCCUUUUUUGGGCAUUUUUAUAAAAAUAACAU
Long non-coding RNA from Orcinus orca (killer whale), 452 nucleotides. RefSeq lists it as uncharacterized. The transcript is spliced from 3 exons. Lineage: Eukaryota; Metazoa; Chordata; Mammalia; Artiodactyla; Delphinidae. The record is from RefSeq and is a predicted model, not a curated record.